CAAGAAGGGGAUAUUGAAACUUGAAAAGCAAAAGUUUUUGGUCUAAACAACUAGAAGCUGAAAAUUGCCAAGAUGAGGAAAGACUACAGGAGAAGCAGGUUCUCUUUUAUACCUGAAUAUAAGAAACAAACUGAGGAAUGUAAUAACGAGCCCAAACUGGUUUCCUGGGAAAGGACAAGAAAGUAAAUGGAAAUGCUGGCCAGAGUAUGUUGCCACCCAAGGAGGACCCUGAUAGCAAGAAAUGGUUUUAUUUCCAGAAACCAGAAGGGGGUGGAAGCCAGCCUAUGAAUUUUUUUCUGGUC
Microcebus murinus (gray mouse lemur) is the source of this 302-nucleotide long non-coding RNA. RefSeq lists it as uncharacterized. Lineage: Eukaryota; Metazoa; Chordata; Mammalia; Primates; Cheirogaleidae. The record is from RefSeq and is a predicted model, not a curated record.